Molecule: ribosomal RNA, 421 nt
Filed under: uncultured bacterium
Lineage: Bacteria
Description: partial 16S ribosomal RNA
Rfam family: Bacterial small subunit ribosomal RNA
Source: RNAcentral
AAUAUGUGACAAUGGGGGCAACCUUGAUCCAGUAAUGCCCCGUGUGUGAAGAAAGUCUUCGGAUUGUAAAGCACUUUAAUUUGGGAGAAAGGGUUUUUGGUUAAUACCCUGAAGUUUUGGCGUUACCACCAGAUUAAGCACCGGCUAACACUGUGCCAGCAGCCGCGGUAAUACAGAGGGUGCAAGCGUUAAUCGUAAUUACUGGGCGUAAAGCGGGCGUAGGUGGGUCAGUAAGAUGGGUGUGAAAUCACCGGGCUUAACCUGGGAACUGCUUUCAUAACUGCUGAACUAGAGUACGGUAGAGGGUAGUGGAAUUUCCUGUGUAGCGGUGAAAUGCGUAGAUAAAGGAAGGAAAACCAGUGGCGAAGGCGACUACCUGGACUGAUACUGACACUGAGGUGCGAAAGCGGGGGGAGCAAAC